RNAcentral lists this ribosomal RNA (557 nucleotides) under [Frankia] sp. CeVR. RNAcentral's name for it is "bacterial SSU rRNA". It matches the Rfam family "Bacterial small subunit ribosomal RNA", at positions 226 to 796 of the family's 1533-position model. The record is from RNAcentral.
GGAGCUUGCGGCAGAUUAGCUAGUUGGUGAGGUAAUGGCUCACCAAGGCGACGAUCUGUAUCCGGCCUGAGAGGGCGGUCGGACACACUGACACUGAAUAACGGGUCAGACUCCUACGGGAGGCAGCAGUCGGGAAUUUUGGGCAAUGGGCGAAAGCCUGACCCAGCAACGCCGCGUGAGGGAUGAAGUAUUUCGGUAUGUAAACCUCGAAAGAAUGGGAAGAAUAAAUGACGGUACCAUUUAUAAGCUCCGGCUAACUACGUGCCAGCAGCCGCGGUAAUACGUAGGGAGCAAGCGUUGUUCGGAUUUACUGGGCCCUAAAGGGCGCGUAGGCGGCGCGGUAAGUCACUUGUGAAAUCUCUGAGCUUAACUCAGAACGGCCAAGUGAUACUGCUGUGCUAGAGUGCGGAAGAGGCAAACCGGAAUUCUUGAGUGUAGCGGUGAAAUGCGUAGAUAUCAAGAGGAACACCUGAGGCGAAGGCGGGUUGCUGGGCCGACACUGACGCUGAUGCGCGAAAGCCAGGGGAGCAAAACGGGAUUAGAUACCCCGGUAGUCC